This is a long non-coding RNA of Oncorhynchus keta (chum salmon), 1071 nucleotides long. RefSeq lists it as uncharacterized. The record is from RefSeq and is a predicted model, not a curated record. NCBI's taxonomy places the organism in Eukaryota, Metazoa, Chordata, Actinopteri, Salmoniformes, Salmonidae. The transcript is spliced from 7 exons.
UCACAGUAAAACUGUAACUUAAAGUAGCUCCAGCCUCAGUGUUCACAGUAAAACUGUAACUUAAAGUAGCUCCAGCCUCAGUGUUCACAGUAAAACUGUAACUUAAAGCAGGUACAGCCUCAGUGUUCACAGUAAAACUGUAACUUAAAGUAGCUCCAGCCUCAGUGUUCACAGUAAAACUGUAACUUAAAGUAGCUCCAGCCUCAGUGUUCACAGUAAAACUGUAACUUAAAGCAGGUACAGCCUCAGUGUUCACAGUAAAACUGUAACUUAAAGUGGGUACAGCCUCAGUGUUCACAGUAAAACUGUAACUUAAAGCAGGUACAGCCUCAGUGUUCACAGUAAAACUGUAACUUAAAGCAGGUACAGCCUCAGUGUUCACAGUAAAACUGUAACUUAAAGCAGGUACAGCCUCAGUGUUCACAGUAAAACUGUAACUUAAAGUGGGUACAGCCUCAGUGUUCACAGUAAAACUGUAACUUAAAGCAGGUACAGCCUCAGUGUUCACAGUAAAACUGUAACUUAAAGCAGGUACAGCCUCAGUGUUCACAGUAAAACUGUAACUUAAAGUGGGUACAGCCUCAGUGUUCACAGUAAAACUGUAACUUAAAGCAGGUACAGCCUCAGUGUUCACAGUAAAACUGUAACUUAAAGUGGGUACAGCCUCAGUGUUCACAGUAAAACUGUAACUUAAAGCAGGUAGAGCCUCAGUGUUCACAGUAAAACUGUAACUUAAAGCAGGUACAGCCUCAGUGUUCACAGUAAAACUGUAACUUAAAGCGGGUACAGCCUCAGUGUUCACAGUAAAACUGUAACUUAAAGCAGGUACAGCCUCAGUGUUCACAGUAAAACUGUAACUUAAAGUGGGUACAGCCUCAGUGUUCACAGUAAAACUGUAACUUAAAGCAGGUACAGCCUCAGUGUUCACAGUAAAACUGUAACUUAAAGCAGGUACAGCCUCAGUGUUCACAGUAAAACUGUAACUUAAAGCAGGUACAGCCUCAGUGUUCACAGUAAAACUGUAACUUAAAGUGGGUACAGCCUCAGUGUUCACAGUAAAACUGUAACUUA